RNAcentral lists this ribosomal RNA (796 nucleotides) under Bacillus subtilis. RNAcentral describes it as "bacterial SSU rRNA". It matches the Rfam family "Bacterial small subunit ribosomal RNA", at positions 114 to 894 of the family's 1533-position model. The record is from RNAcentral. Lineage: Bacteria; Bacillati; Bacillota; Bacilli; Caryophanales; Bacillaceae.
ACCUUGGGUAACCUGCCUGUAAGACUGGGAUAACUCCGGGAAACCGGGGCUAAUACCGGAUGCUUGUUUGAACCGCAUGGUUCAAACAUAAAAGGUGGCUUCGGCUACCACUUACAGAUGGACCCGCGGCGCAUUAGCUAGUUGGUGAGGUAAUGGCUCACCAAGGCAACGAUGCGUAGCCGACCUGAGAGGGUGAUCGGCCACACUGGGACUGAGACACGGCCCAGACUCCUACGGGAGGCAGCAGUAGGGAAUCUUCCGCAAUGGACGAAAGUCUGACGGAGCAACGCCGCGUGAGUGAUGAAGGUUUUCGGAUCGUAAAGCUCUGUUGUUAGGGAAGAACAAGUACCGUUCGAAUAGGGCGGUACCUUGACGGUACCUAACCAGAAAGCCACGGCUAACUACGUGCCAGCAGCCGCGGUAAUACGUAGGUGGCAAGCGUUGUCCGGAAUUAUUGGGCGUAAAGGGCUCGCAGGCGGUUCCUUAAGUCUGAUGUGAAAGCCCCCGGCUCAACCGGGGAGGGUCAUUGGAAACUGGGGAACUUGAGUGCAGAAGAGGAGAGUGGAAUUCCACGUGUAGCGGUGAAAUGCGUAGAGAUGUGGAGGAACACCAGUGGCGAAGGCGACUCUCUGGUCUGUAACUGACGCUGAGGAGCGAAAGCGUGGGGAGCGAACAGGAUUAGAUACCCUGGUAGUCCACGCCGUAAACGAUGAGUGCUAAGUGUUAGGGGGUUUCCGCCCCUUAGUGCUGCAGCUAACGCAUUAAGCACUCCGCCUGGGGAGUACGGUCGCAAGAC